This 375-nucleotide ribosomal RNA is filed under the name uncultured bacterium. RNAcentral describes it as "bacterial SSU rRNA". It matches the Rfam family "Bacterial small subunit ribosomal RNA", at positions 521 to 896 of the family's 1533-position model. The record is from RNAcentral.
UAAUACGUAGGGUGCGAGCGUUAAUCGGAAUUACUGGGCGUAAAGCGUGCGUAGGCGGUUUCUGAAGUCCGCUGUGAAAGCCCCGGGCUUAACCUGGGAAUGGCAGUGGAAACUAGGGGACUUGAAUCUGGCAGAGGGGGGUGGAAUGCCGCGUGUAGCAGUGAAAUGCGUAGAGAUGCGGCGGAACACCGAUGGCGAAGGCAGCCCCCUGGGCUGAGAUUGACGCUGAGGCACGAAAGCGUGGGGAGCAAACAGGAUUAGAUACCCUGGUAGUCCACGCCCUAAACGAUGGCAACUAGGUGUUGGGGGAGCAAUUCCUUGGUACCGCAGCUAACGCGUGAAGUUGCCCGCCUGGGGAGUACGGUCGCAAGAUUA